UACGGGGGGGGCAAGCGUUGUUCGGAAUUACUGGGCGUAAAGGGCUCGUAGGCGGCCAACUAAGUCAGACGUGAAAUCCCUCGGCUUAACCGGGGAACUGCGUCUGAUACUGGAUGGCUUGAGUGUGGGAGAGGGAUGCGGAAUUCCAGGUGUAGCGGUGAAAUGCGUAGAUAUCUGGAGGAACACCGGUGGCGAAGGCGGCAUCCUGGACCACGACUGACGCUGAGACGCGAAAGCCAGGGGAGCGAACGGG
RNAcentral lists this ribosomal RNA (253 nucleotides) under uncultured bacterium. RNAcentral's name for it is "partial 16S ribosomal RNA". It matches the Rfam family "Bacterial small subunit ribosomal RNA", at positions 524 to 776 of the family's 1533-position model. The record is from RNAcentral.